RNAcentral lists this transfer RNA (73 nucleotides) under Trichonephila clavata. It matches the Rfam family "tRNA". From Rfam's summary of the family: Transfer RNA (tRNA) molecules are approximately 80 nucleotides in length. Their secondary structure includes four short double-helical elements and three loops (D, anti-codon, and T loops). Lineage: Eukaryota; Metazoa; Arthropoda; Arachnida; Araneae; Nephilidae. The record is from Rfam by way of RNAcentral.
GUCCCUGUAGCGCAAUGGAUAGCGUGUUGGACAUCUAAUCCAAAGGUCGUGGGUUCAUAUCCCACCUGGUAUG